This 701-nucleotide ribosomal RNA is filed under the name uncultured bacterium. RNAcentral's name for it is "bacterial SSU rRNA". It matches the Rfam family "Bacterial small subunit ribosomal RNA", at positions 28 to 733 of the family's 1533-position model. The record is from RNAcentral.
GAUGAACGCUAGCGGCAGGCCUAAUACAUGCAAGUCGAACGGUCAGUAGCAAUACUGAUAGUGGCGCACGGGUGCGUAACACGUAACUAACCUACCUAUAACUGGGGGAUAGCCCGCCGAAAGGCGGAUUAAUACCGCAUAAGCUAGUUAAACGGCAUCGUUUGAUUAGUAAAGAUUUAUUGGUUAUAGAUGGGGUUGCGGGUCAUUAGCUAGUUGGUAAGGUAACGGCUUACCAAGGCGACGAUGACUAGGGGAGCUGAGAGGCUGGUCCCCCACACGGGCACUGAGAUACGGGCCCGACUCCUACGGGAGGCAGCAGUAGGGAAUAUUGGGCAAUGGGCGAGAGCCUGACCCAGCCAUGCCGCGUGCAGGAAGAAGGCUUUCUGAGUCGUAAACUGCUUUUGACAGGGAAGAAUAAGCACUACGUGUAGUGUGAUGACGGUACCUGCAGAAUAAGCACCGGCUAACUCCGUGCCAGCAGCCGCGGUAAUACGGAGGGUGCGAGCGUUGUCCGGAUUUAUUGGGUUUAAAGGGUGCGUAGGCGGCCCGUUAAGUCCGGGGUGAAAGCCCGCUGCUCAACAGCGGAACUGCCCUGGAUACUGACGGGCUUGAGUACAGACGAGGUUGGCGGAAUGGACUGAGUAGCGGUGAAAUGCAUAGAUACAGUCCAGAACCCCGAUUGCGAAGGCAGCUGAACUAGG